This 531-nucleotide ribosomal RNA is filed under the name Triticum aestivum (bread wheat). RNAcentral describes it as "partial small subunit ribosomal RNA". The record is from RNAcentral. Lineage: Eukaryota; Viridiplantae; Streptophyta; Magnoliopsida; Poales; Poaceae.
AUGGAACAAUGGUUCCAGUUGGAGGAAAUUGCCAAAAGCAUUACCUUUACUGCCGAGCCGAAUGCCCUGAUUUGGCAGCUGGACAAUAAGGGGAAGUAUUCCUCUAGCUCCCUCUAUCAUGUUAUCAACUUUAGAGGGGUUCAACCCGUGUUUAUCCCUGCUGUUUGGAAAUUGAGAGUUCCCCCUAAAAUUCAUGUAUUUCUCUGGCUUCUCUCCAAAAACAAAUUGAUGACUAGGGAUAACCUUAGGAAGAGACACAUCAUCAAACCCCUUGAUUGUGUUUACUGCUUGGAACAAGAGUCUUGUUCUCACCUAUUUUUUGAAUGUAUAGUUGCUAAACAUCUCUGGGCCCACAUUGAGGAAUAUUUCUCUAGUCAGAUUGGCUCAUCCUUCGAAUCUGUCGCCAGAUUUUGGAUUGCUACCAAAAAGUGCUCAGUUUUAAACACUGUUAGCUCAACUGUCCUUUGGUGCCUCUGGAAAUAUAGAAAUGUUAUGAUUUUCAGUAACACCUCCUGGAUUUCCAUUCCGUAG